This is an RNA transcript of Nerophis ophidion (straightnose pipefish), 6942 nucleotides long. It is a transcript of the gene named 5'-nucleotidase, cytosolic IAa, with no coding region annotated. The record is from RefSeq and is a predicted model, not a curated record. The transcript is spliced from 8 exons. NCBI's taxonomy places the organism in Eukaryota, Metazoa, Chordata, Actinopteri, Syngnathiformes, Syngnathidae.
UGGAGUAGAGUGGGGUGAAACAGAGCAGCAGAUGGACUGCAGCUUUCCGCACAUCAGCAUAGACUUUAUGUAUGAACUGUCUGUAAAUCAAUUUGCUAUGUCGGUGAGGGGAUUAAACUAGGAACCGCCAUUUUUCUCGUGGAUUUUGCUCUUCACACAUGGGUAGGUUUCCAGCAGGCAGGUGCAAGCCCAGCUGCUGGCCAACACACAUGACAGGACAGUGCUGCUAAAUGCCCCACACACACACACACACACACACACGCACACGCACACACACACACACGCACACACACACGCACACACACACACACACACACACACACACAUACAGCGGCACUGUUGUAACUUGGAAGGCACCCAUCCUCCAUGGUGAAGAUGAGUCGGGACCCCCUGCAGGUGAUCGGCGGACAGGUCAAGGAGAUGCAAGUUUCUUCCAAUGGGGACAACAUAGCAUCAUGGGAGGGGACGCAGGAGUUCGAUCAGGACCACCCGGACCUCGCCGACAAACCAAAACAAGUGACAGGCAGACGGGCCCGCAAGGUGGAAGGAGGCGUGUUCUUUCCCAAGCCCGAGAACGCAGUGACUAUCGCCGUUUCUACAAGAGUUCUGUUCCGAACAGAACGGGAGCAGAAAGUGUAUGAGCAGCACGGUGUGGAGGAGUACCUGAGGUACCAAAUCGAACACGAGAACGAACCCUUCGCCCCCGGACCGGCGUUCCCCUUCGUCAAGGCUCUGGAGGCAGUAAACACUCGGCUUCGUGAGUUGUAUCCGCAAAGUGAGGAGCUGUUCGACAUUGUCCUGGUGACAUACAACCACGCUCAUGUAGGCAUCCGCCUCAUCAACACCAUCAACUAUCACAAUCUGUUCAUAGAGAGGUUUUGCAUGACGGGUGGAAGCAGUCCUAUUGGCUAUCUGAAGGCCUGGCAAACCAACCUCUACCUGUCAGCUGAUGCAGACAAGGUCAGAGAAGCGCUGUCUGAAGGCAUUGCGGCGGCCACCAUGUUCAUGCCAGACAAGCAAACAGAGGUGUCCGAGUCCCAGCUGAGGGUGGCGUUUGACGGCGACGCCGUUCUCUUCUCCGACGAGUCCGAGCGCAUCUUCAAGGCCCACGGGCUGGACAAGUUCUUCGAGCACGAGCGCGAAAACGAGGACACGCUACUUGACCAUGGGCCACUGAAAGGUUUCCUGGAGGCCCUUGGGAAGCUCCAGAAGAAGUUUUACGCAAAAGGCCAGCGCCUGGACUGCCCAAUCCGGACCUUCUUAGUCACGGCCCGGAGCGCGGCCAGCUCCGGGAUCCGAGCCCUGAAGACCCUCAGGGCCUGGGGUCUGGAGAUCGACGAGGCCCUGUUCCUAGCGGGGGCGCCCAAGGGCCCCAUGCUGGAGAAGAUCAGGCCUCACAUCUACUUUGACGACCAGAUGUUUCACGUGGAGGGCGCGACCGAGAUGGGCACCGUGGCCGCGCACGUGCCUUACGGCAUAGCGCAGAAAAACAACGCCCGGCACAAGUCUGGCGUGGGCAAGUAGACAAGAUGGAGCACAAACUGAACCUUUACUAGAAAAACACUUUGAUGUUUCUUACAAAUAGUCUUAUCCUCUAAUGUAGGGGUCUCAAACACACGGCUCGCGAGACGUUAUUUGGCGGCCGGCACCCAUAUUUGAAAAUUUUGUAUUGGUGCGGCCUGCGAGUUUUAUAUGAAUGGCGCUUUACAGUGUCAUACUUGUACACCCUCGAUUUUUCCAGUGGACACCUGUUAGACUCCCGAUUUCCAGUCCCCCUCCAGGGGUAAUCAUUCUCCCGGAUCUCACCAAAACCGGGUGAGAGGCACUGCCUUUACUGUCCUCUACAAACUGCAACAACAGCGUGUCAACCCUGCCGCAUGUUGUAUAAGACUUCAGAGGACUCAGUAAGCGACUGCAAGACAUAGUUGAUCAACAGCCAUACAGGUCACACUGAGGGUGGCCGUAUAAACAACUUUAAAGGGGAACAUUAUCACAAUUUCAAAAGUGUUAAAAACAAUAAAAAGCUUGUUGUAUUUUUUGAAAAUGUUUUCAUAAUUUUACCGGUCCCUGAAUAGCCAUAAAAAACCUUUAAAGUGCUUGAUUUUCGCUAUUUGCAAUGCGACUAUCCAUUUCCCUGUGACGUCAUACAGUGCUGCCAAUGUAAACUGGCAGAUACCACAGCAAGACAUAGUGACAUUAGCUCGGAUUCAGACUCGGAUUUCAGCGGUUUAAGCGAUUCAACAGAUUACGCAUGUAUUGAAACGGAUGGUUGGAGUAUGAAAGUAUUGAAGAAGAAACUGAAGCUAUUGAGCGAAUAGCUAUUGACGCUAUUCAUAGCCAUAGCAUGGCCGAAUAACUGCGUUAGCAUCGACGGUAAAAGGUGCGGACCAAACGAUCAGGACUUUCGCAUCUUGUGACACUGGAGCAACUUAAAUCCGUCGAUUGGUAAGUGUUCUUUUUUGCAUUAAAUGUGGGUGGAAGGAAACGUAAUAUAGUUGCAAAUGCAUCUGCAGGUUAUCCAUACAUCUCUGUGCCAUGUCUGCUUUAGUACCGCCGGUAAAUAGCAUGUUAGUAUCGAUUAGCGUAGCAUGUUAGCAUUGAUUAGCUGGAAGUCACGCCGCAACCAAAUAUGUCUGAUUAGCACAUAAGUCAACAUCAACAAAACUCACCUUUGUGAUUUCGUUGACUUUAUCGUUGCAAAUGCAUCUGGAGGUUAUCCAUACAUCUCUGUGCCAUGCCUGUCAUCCCCGGUAAAAUGUGGAGACACUUUGGUACAUUCAACGGGGAUCUGGCGGCAGACACUUUCGCAUCUUCGGGCCAGUGGUGCAACUUGAAUCCCUCCCUGUUAGUGUUGUUAAACCCUCCGACAACACACCGACGAGCCAUGAUGUCUCCAAUGUUCCAAAAAAUAGUCGAAAAAACGGAAAAUAACAGAGCUGAGACCCAAUGUUUACAAUGUGUUGAAAAUGAAUGGCGGCUGUAUUACCUCGGAGACAUCAACACAUGAGCGAUAAACAGAAAGGCGUUUAAUUCGCCAAAAUUCACCCAUUUAGACUUCGGAAAUCGGUUAAAAAAAUAAAUGGUCUUUUUUCUGCACCAUCAAGGUAUUAAUUGACGCUUACGUAGGUCUGGUGAUAAUGUUCCCUUUUAACACCGUUACAAAUAUGUGCCACACUGGGAACCCACACCAAACAAGAUUGACAAACACAUUUUAGGAGAACAUCCGCACCGUAACACAACAUAAAAACAACACAACAAAUACCCAGAAUCCCAUGCAGCCCUAACCCUUCUGGGCUACAAUAUAUACCCCUGCCCCCAAACCCCCAUUGUAGCCUGGACGAGUUAGGGCUGCAUUGGAUUCUGGGUAUUUGUUCUGUUGUGUUUAUGUUGUGUUACGGUGUGGAUGUUCUCCUAAAAUGUGUUUGUCACUCUUGUUUGGUGUGGAUUCAAAGUAGUGACAUCUUUUAUUAUCAACUCGAAAAUAUUACAAAAAAAACAAAGGGUAUAAGCAAAAGGCGCUCUCAGCGGAGGUAAAACAAAACUAUUACUACAACUUAAAGGCCUACUGAAAUGACAUUUUCUUAUUCAAACGGGGAUAACAGGUUCAUUCUAUGUGUCAUACUUGAUCAUUUCGCGGUAUUGCCAUAUUUUUGCUGAAAGGAUUUAGUAGAGAACAUCGACGAUAAAGUUUGCAACUUUUGGUCCCGAACAAAAAAGCCUUGCCUGUACCGGAAGUAGCAGACGAUGUGCGCGUGACGUCACCGGUUGUAGGGCUCCUCACAUGGUUUACAAUCAUGGCCACCAGCAGCUAGGGCUAUUUGGACCGAGAAAGCGACAAUUUCCCCAUUAAUUUGAGCGAGGAUGAAAGAUUCGUGGAUGAGGAAAGUUAGAGUGAAGCACACAAAAAAAAGAAGAAAAAAAGAAAAGGCAACGGCUCCAGGCGGCGGCAGUGGGAGAGUUUUAGAUGUAAUUAGACACAUUAACAAGGAUAAUUCUGGAAAAUUCCUUAUCUGCUUAUUGUGUUAAUAGUAUUUUAGUAAGAUUAUGAAGUCCUACCUGAAAGUCGGAUGGCUGCGGUGAACGCCAGUGUCUAUGAGAGAAGCCGAGGAGCCAAGAUCACAGCUGCCUUUUUGAGCUGCAGGAUGAGGUCGUGUAAUCCACUCAAGAAUCCGGUAAGAGCCGACUUAAUACCACAAUUUUCCCAUUUAUUUUCAUCAUUUAUUCUCUACAAAAAACCUUCCGUAAAAGGAAAAAAAAAUGUACAACGGAAUGACAGACAGAAAUACCCAUUUUUUAAUAUAUAUAUAUAUAUAUAUAUAUAUACAUAUAUAUAUAUAUAUAUAUACACACAUACAUACAUACAUAUGCAUAUAUUUAUUUAUUAAAGGUAAAUUGAGCAAAUUGGCUAUUUCUGGCAAUUUAUUUAAGUGUGUAUCAAACUGGUAGCCCUUCGCAUUAAUCAGUACCCAAGAAGUAGCUCUUGGUUUCAAAAAGGUUGGUGACCCCUGGUUUAGUUAAAUACCUAUCAAAAUUAGCUACCUCCUAUCAAUAAAGAGUUGAUUUUGUCACUGGCACUAUAAGUAUACGGUAAGUAAUAAGCGGUUAGUUUUUUCCUACGUUUUGAUCCCUGGGGCUUAGUGCACACUUGCCAACCCUCCCGAUUUUCCCGGGAGACUCCGGGAUUUCAGUGCCCCUUUCCCGAAAAUCUCCAUGGGCAACCAUUUUCCCGAAUUUCUCCCGAUUUCCACCCGGAAACAAUAUUGGGGUGCCUUAAAGGCACUGCCUUUAGCGUCCUCUCUCACCUGAAAAGCAGACUAUUAUAUAAGUCUCCGUUAUCUAUAGGUUGAUCUAUAACCCAUAAAGUAGGCAGGCACGGAGCUAUUUCUCAGCGUGUGUUUAUUCCAGCCGGCACGUUAACACACUGACGCACAACAUCCGGAUUCCCAUCAUGCGUUGCUUCAAAACCACGGCAAGUAGUAAUGUCCAAAAACAUAACAGGGACGAAGCAGAGGAACGAAGAAGAGACGUGGCGACGACGAGUAAGAAGAAGAAAUACUCUUGCAAGUUCCAAAAUGAUUGGAAAGAAUUUCAGUUCAUCCAGGACAGCUCGAAGGAGAAGGGGUAUGUGUAGUGAGUCUUAUUCUGCGUUGUGUAGUUUUUUAUAAGUAGGAGACACUCCACCAUUCCGUCGUUUCAUCAUUUAUUGACCACCUUUGUUGGAAACAUGAAACACAUACACAGGUCUCUACUUUUCUGGCGGAGUGAUACCUCAUCAGCAAAAGUCCGAUAGAAGAGGAAGUAAAUAACAUUCAUUCAUUCAUACAAAAAAUAAUAAUUUAAAUGACAUUAACAAAAACGUUUUAUCACAAAAAAAAAGUAUAAUACACAAAUCCACAUACCUUUGUUGGAAACAUGAAACACAUACACAGGUCUCUACUUUUCUGGCGGAUUGAUACCUGCGUAAAUACCAUGUGUAAUUAUGACCAAACAUUUCAAACAUUCGACGCUCUAAUCCUUACUUAACAAAACUGUGCAUAAAAAAAUACUUAAAACCACACAUCACUUAUAAAGUAUUAUGAAAGUUUAGAAAUAAUAUUUACACAAGAAACACAGAGCAAUGAAGAACUAUUACCUCAUCAGCAAAAGUCCGAUUGAAGAGGAAGUAAAAAUCCGAAAAAAAAGCAGAGUCACUUCCUGCACCAGAUAUCCGGUUCUUCAAAAUAAAACCAAUACUUCAAAAUAAAACAUAAGACCCUGUCUCGUUCAUAAUAUAGCGCAACAACGUCACACUAUUACAUUUGCUGGCUGCAAAUUUUGGAAAUCAGACUUCUCCAUUGAACACGCCGGCCGAACAGAUAUACUCAUUCGUGAACGGAUUAUAUAUAUAUAUAUAUAUAUAUAUAUAUAUAUAUAUAUAUAUAUAUAUAUAUAUGAAAUACUUGAAAAUAUAUACACCCCCAGCUACUCAAACCCCCCCACAUCUCCCGAAUUCGGAGGUCCCAAGGUUGGCAAGUAUGGUUUAGCACAUGUAAAGCACUUUGAGUCACUAGAGAAAAGCGCUAUAUAAAUGUAAUUCACUUUAGUGGCCUUGUGGUUAGAGUGCCCGCCCUAAGAGCCGUAGGUCGUGAGUUCAAACCCCCGGCCGAGUCAUACCAAAGACUAUAAAAAUGGGACCCAUUACUUCCCUGCUUGGCACUCAGAAUCAAGGGUUGGAAUUGGGGGUUGAAUCACCAAAAAAUGAUUCCCGGGCGCGGCCACCGCUGCUGCUCACUGCUCCCCUCACCUCCCAGGGGGUGAUCAAGGGUGACGGGUCAAACGCUGAGGAUAAUUUCGUCACACCUAGUGUGGGUGUGACAAUAAUUUAAGAAAUAUUUAUCAACACACACUGAUGAGGACUGCAGUGAUUCUAAAACUAUAAUAUGUGGGCUCCAUCUAGUGGUACGCCAAAGAACCUCUUGAUUAAAGUACAGUUUUUUAUUUUACUAUAUUCGCUGUGUGUAAUAAUACAGUGUCCAAAAGUAUUAACUGCCUCGUUUCUAAUAAAUACUUAACCCUACUAUAUUUUAAUGUUGGUAAUUAUUGUGGGAGUUGGAGAUCCAAGUGUUUUCUGAGGUGUUACUUGGGGGGGAAAGCUCAACAACCACUGGUCAACAGUAUUUCUAUAAGUGCUUUCAACCGGAAGCACAACUGUUUUCUAUUCAUGUUUCUGCUUGUAUGGAUUCUUCAUUCAUCACUCUAAGCAAGGUUUGUAAGUUUUUACAAAUAUUAUUAAAACAAUUCUUACUUAAUAAACCGUCCCAUGUUUGUUGUCCGUCGGAGUGUUUUCAUGCUUAUUUGUAUGUGCUAUCGUAAUGUAAUCAAGCUAGUGUCGUUAGCAUUAGCAAAUAAGCUAGCAUGUUUACAAGUGUCUGUGUUAGUAUUAAACUUGAAAAAUUGCAUUUU